RNAcentral lists this ribosomal RNA (301 nucleotides) under uncultured bacterium. Its description in RNAcentral is "partial 16S ribosomal RNA". It matches the Rfam family "Bacterial small subunit ribosomal RNA", at positions 509 to 807 of the family's 1533-position model. The record is from RNAcentral.
CAGCCGCCGCGGGAAUACGUAGGUGGCAAGCGUUGUCCGGAAUUAUUGGGCGUAAAGGGCUCGCAGGCGGUUUCUUAAGUCUGAUGUGAAAGUCCCCGGCUCAACCGGGGAGGGUCAUUGGAAACUGGGAAACUUGAGUGCAGAAGAGGAGAGUGGAAUUCCACGUGUAGCGGUGAAAUGCGUAGAGAUGUGGAGGAACACCAGUGGCGAAGGCGACUCUCUGGUCUGUAACUGACGCUGAGGAGCGAAAGCGUGGGGAGCGAACAGGAUUAGAUACCCCAGUAGUCCCUGUCUCUUAUAC